GGGCGGUUAGCUCAGUUGGUUAGAGUAUCUCGUUGACAUCGAGGGGGUCGAUGGUUCGAAUCCAUUAUCGCCCACCA
RNAcentral lists this transfer RNA (77 nucleotides) under Megasphaera elsdenii. RNAcentral describes it as "tRNA-Val(gac)". It matches the Rfam family "tRNA". Rfam says of the family: Transfer RNA (tRNA) molecules are approximately 80 nucleotides in length. Their secondary structure includes four short double-helical elements and three loops (D, anti-codon, and T loops). The record is from RNAcentral. Lineage: Bacteria; Bacillati; Bacillota; Negativicutes; Veillonellales; Veillonellaceae. RNAcentral also lists the same sequence under 11 other names.